UACGUAGGGUGCAAGCGUUAAUCGGAAUUACUGGGCGUAAAGCGUGCGCAGGCGGUUGUGCAAGACAGGUGUGAAAUCCCCGGGCUCAACCUGGGAACUGCAUUUGUGACUGCAUGGCUAGAGUACGGCAGAGGGGGAUGGAAUUCCGCGUGUAGCAGUGAAAUGCGUAGAUAUGCGGAGGAACACCGAUGGCGAAGGCAAUCCCCUGGGCCUGUACUGACGCUCAUGCACGAAAGCGUGGGGAGCAAACAGG
Molecule: ribosomal RNA, 253 nt
Filed under: uncultured bacterium
Lineage: Bacteria
Description: partial 16S ribosomal RNA
Rfam family: Bacterial small subunit ribosomal RNA
Source: RNAcentral